GAAACGACUCUCGGCAACGGAUAUCUCGGCUCUCGCAUCGAUGAAGAACGUAGCGAAAUGCGAUACCUGGUGUGAAUUGCAGAAUCAUGUGAACCAUCGAGUCUUUGAACGCAAGUUGCGCCCGAAGCCGUUAGGCCGAGGGCACGUCUGCCUGGGCGUCACAC
RNAcentral lists this ribosomal RNA (164 nucleotides) under Trema simulans. RNAcentral describes it as "Parasponia simulans 5.8S ribosomal RNA". It matches the Rfam family "5.8S ribosomal RNA". From Rfam's summary of the family: 5.8S ribosomal RNA (5.8S rRNA) is a component of the large subunit of the eukaryotic ribosome. Lineage: Eukaryota; Viridiplantae; Streptophyta; Magnoliopsida; Rosales; Cannabaceae. The record is from RNAcentral.